Molecule: ribosomal RNA, 496 nt
Filed under: uncultured bacterium
Lineage: Bacteria
Description: partial 16S ribosomal RNA
Rfam family: Bacterial small subunit ribosomal RNA
Source: RNAcentral
GAUGAACGCUGGCGGCGUGCCUAAUACAUGCAAGUCGAGCGAACAGACGAGGAGCUUGCUCCUCUGACGUUAGCGGCGGACGGGUGAGUAACACGUGGAUAACCUACCUAUAAGACUGGGAUAACUUCGGGAAACCGGAGCUAAUACCGGAUAAUAUAUUGAACCGCAUAGUUCAAUAGUGAAAGACGGUUUUGCUGUCACUUAUAGAUGGAUCCGCGCCGCAUUAGCUAGUUGGUAAGGUAACGGCUUACCAAGGCAACGAUGCGUAGCCGACCUGAGAGGGUGAUCGGCCACACUGGAACUGAGACACGGUCCAGACUCCUACGGGAGGCAGCAGUAGGGAAUCUUCCGCAAUGGGCGAAAGCCUGACGGAGCAACGCCGCGUGAGUGAUGAAGGUCUUCGGAUCGUAAAACUCUGUUAUAGGGAAGAACAAAUGUGUAAGUAACUAUGCACGUCUUGACGGUACCUAAUCAGAAAGCCACGGCUAACUACGUG